RNAcentral lists this unclassified non-coding RNA (1342 nucleotides) under Acyrthosiphon pisum (pea aphid). RNAcentral's name for it is "uncharacterized LOC107883940, transcript variant X4". Lineage: Eukaryota; Metazoa; Arthropoda; Insecta; Hemiptera; Aphididae. The record is from RNAcentral.
UAUUAUAUUUUUAUUUUACAUUUUUCAUUUAUAUUUAUUGUGAAUUUAUAAGACUAAAUAAGACAAAGAAGAAAAUAGCAAAACUAACAACAACAACUUAGUUGGCUGUGUUCCAAUUUGUUUAUUGCCUGCUAAUUUAGGUUUUUUUGAACUUACAUCUAAACCAGAAUACCUACCGAAUGUUUUUUUGAUUAUUUGUAAUAAUAAAUUUGUUUUUCAGGUAUUGAGCUGGUCUAUUAGCUGCUACAUCUAAAAGCUUCAUUUCAUAGAAAGCAUCUAGGUCAUUGACUAUGAAAAAAAAUAAUUGUACUGGAGAAUACGCCUUGGUUCUUUCCAGUAUGACGUCCUUAACAAUUUUCACGCCAGCCUCGCUUAUAUUAUUCGUAUUUUGACCUCUGGUUAUCAAGCCUUUCCUAAAACAUAAUGCCCACUGCUCUUUCCUUUGGUAUAAAUUGGUUAAAUAUGUUAUAAAUAUUGGAAUAUAAGGUAUAGCGAUGAUGAAGAGGUACACCGUGGUUUGAAUCCCAUAGAUACCUCCAAGUAGCUUGUAGAACGUGAAAAAUACAAAGUAAAAGUAUUGAUUCAGGAAAAACUGAAUGCAAUGCACUUCUUUCAGCCGCUGAGUCAUCAGACAUAAAAAUCUUUGGACCUUUUGUACCUCUACCUGCCAGUGAUUUAGGUAUACCUCCAGCACAACUAUUUGUAUAAAUCAUGAAGACUUUACAACCAUACCUGUCCAUAUUUGCUGAAGCAUCUAUAAAAAGAAUUUCUCCACAUUCAUUUAAUUCGCAACUAAUUCUGCUCAUUAAAGGAGUGACUAUUGCUAUGGCAAAGUUUCCAUUCUCAAGUUCUUUCAUAGCAGCUGUGUCAGACAUGCAUUCAGUAUUAUAUUCUUGUAUUGCAUCCUUUAGAGAUGAAAUCAUUUGCUCACCAUGUGAUGGCGUUUUACCUUCCUCAAAUAAUUUCAAAAACUUGGCUUUUAUUUCCUCAGAUGGUAUUCUGUGUUUCAUGACAUCAGCCCUUAAAAUAUGGUGGUUAUGGGUGUGUUUCAACAGAACCCUGGCAUAUGUUUUGAAACUAUUGGAUGAAGAAUUGUCAUCGUUCCUAGAUUAUAAAUAAAAAUUAAUUCAAAUACAUUUGUUUAUUAAUUGAACUUACAACGUAAUAUGCUCAGACAACAAAUCAUUAUCUUCGUCUUUUAAUAUUUGUAUACCCAAUGUCGCUUUACAGUCGAAAUGCUUUUCACUUGGAUUUGAAUUAGCCUUUGGUCUUGUGUUGUGAUGACAUCUGUAUCGUUUCUAUUUAAAAUUCAACAAAAAAUAAUAAAAUGUAUUUAUACACA